This is a long non-coding RNA of Solanum dulcamara, 5467 nucleotides long. RefSeq lists it as uncharacterized. The record is from RefSeq and is a predicted model, not a curated record. The transcript has 6 exons. Lineage: Eukaryota; Viridiplantae; Streptophyta; Magnoliopsida; Solanales; Solanaceae.
GUUCAUUCAUGCAUACCUUUUCCUUCUACAUCCAACUUCCUCCUUUCUCCAGAUCUCUUCUAUGUAGUUUAUCUUCUUCAAUUUUCAUAUUCAGAUCUGUGUAGAUCGUUCAUCGAUCUACGUUUUGAAUAUGGAUUUGCCAUGUAUCUGCAACGGAUCGGUGAUUUACCAAUCGAACAUGCUAACGGUUCGAUAUCCGUCGACUGUGGCCGCCGGUUGACGAAGAGAUGGUAGAUCUGAUGCUUUCGUGCUGGUUAGAUGGAGAUGAACCUCAGAUCUGUGGAGGUUGGAGCAAUGGUUUCAUAAUACAAGGCGUUGACCUCGUGAGGAUUCCAUCGUUGUGUGCAGGAGCUUUAUCGGUGAGAUCUGAAUAGAGAUUGAAGGACUAUUCAAUCGGUGUGUCGGAUCAAUCGUUUAGACUGGUUAUCAUCGAUCGAGGUUGAAAUCAUCUUGCGUGAUGGUGUAUCUAAGGUUAUAAUAGUUUAAUUUGAUGUCUAUAAUUAUUUGAAUGUUUCAUUUGCGUUAGUUUUUAUUUAUGCAUGCAUAUGUACGAGAGGAUGAAAUAUUGAGAGACGUUGUGUGAGGCAUGAGAGGAAAAAAGAGAGGUAUUUAUUGUUCAUGUUACCCGGCCUUUGCCAUGUUGGGUGCGCUCGCAUGGCAGGUCAAAAGUACCUAAUAAAAGUAUUUUUUUGGUGUUUGAGAGGAGAGGUACGGGGUUUUGCCCGGAUCUCCUCUCUUGUGUGUCGUCCUUUUUAUUUUCAUGCUCUUUCCUUGCUCCCGCGUCCAACAAUCUUGCAUCGAUCCGGUGGUUACUGUUUUAUCCAAAGACAAGUAACUCAUGUUGAUUUGCUUAGCACGGCCAUGGACAAGCAACGUUUCUACUGCAGCACUCUAUUAGAGGUAUCAAUUCUUUUCGCAAAGUUUAUUUGCAAAUUCAUCAUAGAAGAGUUAGUUGCGUUAAUUAUCAUUCACCUAAGACACUAAUUAAUACACAAUAUAUUUCUGGAAUUAUUUUUACAAACCGAAAGGCUCUAAAAGAUCACUUUUUAUUUUAUCACCACAUACCUUUUUUUAUGAAAGUAACUAAAAAUUAUUUGAAGUCUAACUUGGCAAGUGUCGAUCUCAGUUGGCCUGCCUGAAAUGAAAAAAGCAUCAUGAGUUGUUUUUUUAAAAUUUACGCUGAUUAAUAGUUGAUAGGACCUCUAAUCCAUGAUUUUCAAUAUAAUGUUUUUACUAUGUCGUUUAUGGAACUUUUGAAAAUUAAUUGAUUAGCAAACAAUGUCAAUUUCAAGUAUAAAUUGGAUUAUUCAACUUGUUGGAUGAAUAUGAGGAACAAUUGAUCAAGCGGUCUUAUAUCAAGAAGUAUGGGGAAUAACAACAAUUAAACAGGCUUUACAAAAGCUGUAAUUGUUGGGCAUUGCAGAAGCUGCAAACUAUGAAUCUUCUUUUUCUUGUCCUUUGUGCAAUGCACUCACUUGAUUCUAGUAUUUUCCUUCGUUUUUAUUAUCUAGCAAUUUGCCCUUCAUUGUUGAUGAUUUAAUUGUUUUUAAGUGGGUUUUUUCAUGAAUAUUAGCGGCACGUCUAUGUUCUACCAGUUAGUGAUGUAGUUGUUCCAAUCCGUUGUAUAUUCUUUUUAUUGCCCCUUAUUGUAGCCCUUUGGGAGGUUACCUUUUUAGGCAGGUUUGUGAUUUUGACUGUAAAAACUACUCGAUGUACUGGUUAGAUCUUGCGUUUAUUCUUAUUGGUGGAUGCCUUCGCUGUAUGAGAACUUGGAGUAGCAUUGAUGCUGGCUGAAGUCCUCAUUUGUCCUUGUAAAAGUGCUGUAUGUUCAGCCCUGUUGUACGCGAAGCUUUAUUUUAACAAAGGUUGUCCAGAAAUAUUUUGAGCUGCUGCUGCUGUUGAAGUUGAAGAUUUUGUACCUCAUGGUUGUGCGUUUUAUCUGUGCGUGGAAAUCUCAACAUACUCUGGCUGUGGUUUCACUGCUUUUGAGUUUAUGUUCCUACUUUUGGGAUACUCCAGUUUGUCCGUUGUUUGAAGCUUGUGUUUCAGCAAGAUACAAAAUGGGUGUUUAAUCAUAAGACGCAACAUAGGUGCUGUUGUGUUUUUGACGAUAUGUUGACAUAUUCUUUGCCUUAUUCUCUAGAGGAAUUUCCAGAGCACUACUGUCCUCAUUCCUGUAUUGUGCUGUUAUCUAUUUUCCUAUAUAUUUUGCUUUUCAAAAACCUUGUGGCAGAUGGUUGAUGUCUACUCAGGCUGUGUUUUGCCUUCUGCUAAUCUUGAGUGCAUGAAUUAAUCCGCUGGGAAUGGAGUAUGUAAAACAUUUUUCUAAUGUUAUGGUCAAUUAACAGUUUACAACUGGAUGGUGCGUUUAAUCUUCUACUGUUAAGAUUUGUCGUUCGGCAGAGCUAAUGGUCAGAUGUUCGUUUUUUACUACAGAUAUCAAUUAUUGUUGAACCUUUGAUUCAAUAAUUUUGCCUCCGCUUUGUACUUUUUCAGUUCCAAGAAAGUACUGUCAUGUUACAAUAUUUUUUGCUACGAGGGAUUAUUUUCGUCGAGAGUAGCUUGAGGUUUGGUUCUCAGUCGGCUUGGUCAUAUAUAUAUUAAUAUAUCUAUUAAAUGUUGUUAUUUAUAUAGUUAUUUUAGAUUGUUGUAUCGGGUAUUUUUGGCCUGUAGUAAUUAUUAUCUAAAUUGAUUAAUCCUCUCAACAGUGAUUAUUAAUGAAUUUAAACUAAAGAUGGUGCUUUGAUUUUACCACUAGACCAAUGACCAAUAAUUUGCGUUAGUUUCUAAUUCACAUGUGAUAAUUAAGUGUAAGGCCCUUGUCGCAUGAUUUUUUAAAAUUAUUUAUAGAGUAAGUAUUUUCUUGUUCGGAUGAAUCCAAGAGCUCGGUAUACGGUGGAGCGCUCGAUGCUUGUUGUCGAGAGGUCGGUGGUUCGAAUCCACCUGGAUUCCUUAUUUAGGUGGGCUAUUGUAAUUUGUCUUAUCUUUUUAUCGGUGCAAUUAGCACGAAAGUUAAUUAGUUAGUCUAAUCAUGUAAAUUUAGUAGUAAUUUGAGGGAGAUGUUUUUGUGAUAUUAAAUUAAAUUCUUUAUGUGAUGGAAUUGUAAUUUUGCGGUCAUCUGAUAAUCUACUGUACCAUAUUAUCUUCACCAUGACUAAUAAUUCCGGUGGUUGGUACUGACAUUUUUAUCUUUGAUCUUUCUUACAGUUGGUAUCUACUCGUAGGUAACACCAAUUUUGUUUAAUCGUGCAAGCUCGUCGAUUGGCCGGACAAACGGUGUAGCUGUUUGUUCUCCGUCAAUGGUGGCUGCCGGUAGACACAGAUGUAUAUCUGAAUCUUUUGUCAGAGAUUCGUCAAUGUGGACUAAUUACUUGAUAUCGUUAGAUCCGAAUUGAGCUGAUCUUCGGAUGCUGUUGCAAUUCCAGCUGCGAAGGGAGUGAAACAGCGAGCCUGAUGGUGCAUCUAAGGUUAUAAUUGUUAAAUUUAAUGUCUAUUUAUUUGAAUGGUUCAUGUACAUUAGUAGUUUUUAUUUAUGCAUGCAUAUGUAUGAGAGGAUGAAAGGUUGAGUGACGUUGUGUGAGAUAUUUACUGUUUACGUUGCCCGGCCUUUGCCAUGUUGGGUGAGCUCGCGUGGCAGGUCACAAGUACCUAAUAAAAGUAUUGAUUUUGGUGUCUCAGGGGAGAUGGCACGGGGUUUUGCCCGGCUUUCCUCUCUUUGUGCGUUUGUGUCCUCUUUAUUUUUGCUGCACUUUCCGUGUUCCAACUUUGCAACGAUUCCGUGGUUACUUGUUCUCGAAUUGGUCUUAUUUAUUUCUGAACUGUGUCAUCCUGAAAGACAAAUUCAAGGACAAGUAAAUCGUGUUAAUUUGCUAAUUAUGGGGAUGGACAAUCAACGUUCUACUGCAGCACUCCAUUAGAGGUACGAUCAUCAAUUCUCUUUGGUAUAGUUAACUAGUUGCAUCAUUAUUUUCAUACCAGCUAGCUAUUUGGACUACAUGGCUUACUUAAAUUCACUCCACGAGUGCUUAUCAAUCUUAAGAUACUUAAAAGUUCACUCCACAGUUGUUUAUCAAUCUUAAAAUUUUCUAAGUGGGCAGUUCUCGUGUACUUUAAAAAGUAUGAAUAGCUUGACUUAAUGAAUAACUUGCACUUAACCUCCAUCACUUUCACCACUAGAUGUAAGUUGCUUCAAUCAGAGGCUGGCCAGGAUUUUGUUUAUGGGUUCUGGAUUACAGUUUUCUUCUGACUGGGUUCUGAUUAGAAUACUUGAUCGUUGAGUUUUUAUGUAAGGUGUCCAUAAACUGGUACAAGGACCUCAAAGUUUCUUGAAAUAGAAAAACUAGUAAUGAAAUAUGCAUUGCAAAAACUAGUAAUGAAACAUGCACUGGGCUCUCAUAUACUGGCAAUUAGACCAACUAUUAAUUGCAUUUAUUCAUUUCGCAGCAAAUCACUUUGCAUUAAUAACCAGUCUCAAAUUACUAAGCUCAACACAUCCAGAUAAUUAGCUUUUAAUUGGUUGAUUUAGCUAUGAGAGAUGAGCAUGAUAGAAAUCUAAUUAGCUGGUCUCUAAUGAAGAGCCGAGGUAGGAAACAAUGGUCAUUCAUUACAACCGCUUGUGGUAAAUUUUGAUUUUUGCAUUAAUUGAACUUUGACUUUACUUGGCAAAUAUUAGUUAUUUUCUGUUUCAAGACUUGCUCUUGCUUAGCUAGUAAUGUACUUCUGUACAAGUUCUGUGGGAGCUCGUCUGCCUGUGUUGUAAUUGUAUCAAACUUCAAACGAUAUUAUUGUUAUGGUGCUUUUGUUGUCGUCCUUGUGAGGGUAUUCUUUGUAAGGUAGGUUAGGAAAUUUGGCCUUAAAAACAGCUCAGUGUCUCUAGAUCAAAUUGAAGCUUAUCAAAUUAUGGUUAAUGGCCUGGUCAUGUGGCCUGAGAUUUCCAGUAAAUUUUUGAUUUAUCUGCUCCUGGUGAACUGCCGCUCUUCCUACUUGCUGAACAUAAAGCACUUUUUUCUCUGAAUGUAUCAAGAAAUGCCUACUGUGUCAAGAAAUGUUCGAGCUGUUCCUGCUGCUGUAUUUGCAGUUGAAGAUUUGAUCUCUCAUGCUGUAUAGCACAUGCAAGAAAUCUUAUAUGCUGCUGCUCUUGUUUGUUUGAAGCAGUUGGUUCUGUUGUAUCUGGUGCUGUCUAAGACCAGAAAUUUUAGCAGUGGUUGGUUUUACAUUCUGCUGCAUCCUGGAUAUGCCAUGUCGGUCUGUGGUCCCAUGGAAUCCUCAGAAGUGUGUUGUUGAUUGAGCUCCAUAGUCAUCCAGAGCGUCAAUCUAUUACAAGCCUUUUGCUAAUUUCUGAGUGGAACAGUCGAGCAGGGAUGUGAGUCUCUCCUAGAUGAGUGGUUCGACCAUGUGUCACGGUUGACUGUAGCUCUCUUGAAAGAUUGUUCAUCUACUUUUUCAUACUGAGAUGGUGUUGAGCAGA